RNAcentral lists this ribosomal RNA (157 nucleotides) under Fagonia gypsophila. RNAcentral's name for it is "5.8 ribosomal RNA". It matches the Rfam family "5.8S ribosomal RNA". Rfam says of the family: 5.8S ribosomal RNA (5.8S rRNA) is a component of the large subunit of the eukaryotic ribosome. Lineage: Eukaryota; Viridiplantae; Streptophyta; Magnoliopsida; Zygophyllales; Zygophyllaceae. The record is from RNAcentral.
CAAAAUGACUCUCGGCAACGGAUAUCUCGGCUCUCGCAUCGAUGAAGAACGUAGCGAAAUGCGAUACUUGGUGUGAAUUGCAGAAUCCAGCGAACCAUCGAGUCUUUGAACGCAAGUUGCGCCCGAAGCCUUCGGGCUAAGGGCACGUCUGCCUGGG